This 891-nucleotide small RNA is filed under the name Pan troglodytes (chimpanzee). RNAcentral's name for it is "processed transcript". The record is from RNAcentral. Lineage: Eukaryota; Metazoa; Chordata; Mammalia; Primates; Hominidae.
GGGGAGAGGGAAGGACCGCACGGAGCACCAACCCCUGCUCGGCCCCGUACCAGGAAGCGCUGGGGGGCAGAGGAGCGGAGUUGAGGCAGAAGCCAGUCAGGAUGGUGGUGCCUUCGCUGAAGCUUCAGGACCUCAUCGAAGAGAUUCGCGGGGCCAAGACUCAGGCCCAGGAGCGGGAGGUGAUCCAAAAGGAGUGUGCCCACAUCCGGGCCUCCUUCCGCGACGGGGACCCAGUGCACAGGCACCGGCAGCUGGCCAAACUGCUCUACGUCCACAUGUUGGGCUACCCCGCCCACUUUGGACAGAUGGAGUGCCUGAAACUGAUCGCCUCCUCCAGAUUCACAGACAAGAGGGUGGGCUACCUGGGGGCCAUGCUUCUAUUGGAUGAGAGGCACGAUGCCCACCUGCUCAUUACCAACAGCAUCAAGAAUGACCUGAGCCAGGGGAUUCAGCCAGUACAAGGCCUGGCCUUGUGCACUUUGAGCACCAUGGGCUCUGCUGAGAUGUGCCGAGACCUGGCCCCAGAGGUGGAGAAACUGCUCCUGCAGCCCAGUCCCUACGUGCGCAAGAAGGCUAUUCUGACUGCAGUGCACAUGAUCCGGAAGGUCCCUGAACUCUCCAGUGUCUUCCUCCCACCCUGUGCCCAACUGCUUCAUGAGCGUCACCAUGGUGGUACCCCAGCUGGUACACAUCCUCCGGACUCUGGUGACAAUGGGAUACUCCACAGAACACAGCAUAUCUGGAGUCAGCGACCCCUUCCUGCAGGUCCAGAUACUUCGUCUGCUUCGGAUCCUGGGCCGGAACCACGAGGAGAGCAGUGAGACCAUGAAUGACUUGCUGGCCCAGGUGGCCACUAACACGGACACCAGCCGAAAUGCCGGAAAUGCGGUC